This 55-nucleotide transfer RNA is filed under the name Eucoleus annulatus. Its description in RNAcentral is "tRNA-Ser". Lineage: Eukaryota; Metazoa; Nematoda; Enoplea; Trichinellida; Capillariidae. The record is from RNAcentral.
AGACAGUUAAUGAAGAAAUUUGAAAUUUCUUUUUUCAGUUAAUACUGACUGUUUU